RNAcentral lists this ribosomal RNA (96 nucleotides) under Bacteroides xylanisolvens. Its description in RNAcentral is "partial 16S ribosomal RNA". It matches the Rfam family "Bacterial small subunit ribosomal RNA", at positions 1 to 91 of the family's 1533-position model. Lineage: Bacteria; Pseudomonadati; Bacteroidota; Bacteroidia; Bacteroidales; Bacteroidaceae. The record is from RNAcentral.
CUUUUACAAUGAAGAGUUUGAUCCUGGCUCAGGAUGAACGCUAGCUACAGGCUUAACACAUGCAAGUCGAGGGGCAGCAUUUCGCUAGCAAUAGUG